GUGGGGAAUAUUGGACAAUGGGCGAAAGCCUGAUCCAGCCAUGCCGCGUGUGUGAAGAAGGUCUUCGGAUUGUAAAGCACUUUAAGUUGGGAGGAAGGGCAGUAAGUUAAUACCUUGCUGUUUUGACGUUACCGACAGAAUAAGCACCGGCUAACUUCGUGCCAGCAGCCGCGGUAAUACGAAGGGUGCAAGCGUUAAUCGGAAUUACUGGGCGUAAAGCGCGCGUAGGUGGUUUUGUAAGUUGGAGGUGAAAACCCCGGGCUCAACCUGGGAACUGCCUCCAAAACUGCAUGACUAGAGUACGGUAGAGGGUAGUGGAAUUUCCUGUGUAGCGGUGAAAUGCGUAGAUAUAGGAAGGAACACCAGUGGCGAAGGCGACUACCUGGACUGAUACUGACACUGAGGUGCGAAAGCGUGGGGAGCAAACAGGAUUAGAUACCCGAGUAGUCC
This 450-nucleotide ribosomal RNA is filed under the name uncultured bacterium. RNAcentral describes it as "partial 16S ribosomal RNA". It matches the Rfam family "Bacterial small subunit ribosomal RNA", at positions 354 to 796 of the family's 1533-position model. The record is from RNAcentral.